RNAcentral lists this ribosomal RNA (407 nucleotides) under uncultured microorganism. RNAcentral describes it as "bacterial SSU rRNA". It matches the Rfam family "Bacterial small subunit ribosomal RNA", at positions 509 to 917 of the family's 1533-position model. The record is from RNAcentral.
CAGCCGCCGCGGUAAUACGUAGGGGGCGAGCGUUACCCGGAUUCACUGGGCGUAAAGCGGGUGUAGGCGGCUCGGUAAGUCGGGUGUGAAAUCCCACAGCUCAACUGUGGAAUUGCGCCCGAAACUGCUGAGCUUGGGGCCGGUAGAGGGAGACGGAACUGCCGGUGUAGGGGUGAAAUCCGUAGAUAUCGGCAGGAACGCCGGUGGGGAAGCCGGCCUCCUGGGCCGCGCCCGACGCUGAGGCCCGAAAGCUAGGGGAGCAAACCGGAUUAGAUACCCGGGUAGUCCUAGCCGUAAACGAUGCCCACUAGGUGUGGGGGAGUAUUUCCUCCGUGCUGUAGCUAACGCGUUAAGUGGGCCGCCUGGGGAGUACGCCCGCAAGGGUGAAACUUAAAGGAAUUGGCGGG